This 728-nucleotide ribosomal RNA is filed under the name uncultured bacterium. Its description in RNAcentral is "bacterial SSU rRNA". It matches the Rfam family "Bacterial small subunit ribosomal RNA", at positions 132 to 860 of the family's 1533-position model. The record is from RNAcentral.
AUGUUCACGGGAUAGCCCGUCGAAAGGCGGAUUAAUACCGUAUGAGGUCACACGAUGGCAUCAGAAUGUGACGAAAAGGUUUUGCGGACAUGGAUGGGGAUGCGUCCGAUUAGCUAGUUGGCGGGGUAACGGCCCACCAAGGCGACGAUCGGUAGGGGUUCUGAGAGGAAGGUCCCCCACAUUGGAACUGAGACACGGUCCAAACUCCUACGGGAGGCAGCAGUGAGGAAUAUUGGUCAAUGGGCGUGAGCCUGAACCAGCCAAGUAGCGUGCAGGAUGACGGCCCUAUGGGUUGUAAACUGCUUUUAUGCGGGGAUAAAGUCGGCCACGUGUGGCUGUUUGCAGGUACCGCAUGAAUAAGGACCGGCUAAUUCCGUGCCAGCAGCCGCGGUAAUACGGAAGGUCCGGGCGUUAUCCGGAUUUAUUGGGUUUAAAGGGAGCGUAGGCUGGAGAUUAAGCGUGUUGUGAAAUGCCGCGGCUCAACCGUGGCCCUGCAGCGCGAACUGGUUUUCUUGAGUGCGCUGAAAGCGGGCGGAAUUUGUGGUGUAGCGGUGAAAUGCUUAGAUAUCACGAGGAACCCCGAUUGCGAAGGCAGCUCGCUGUAGCGUAACUGACGCUGAAGCUCGAAAGUGCGGGUAUCGAACAGGAUUAGAUACCCUGGUAGUCCGCACGGUAAACGAUGGAUGCCCGCUGUUCCGGCGAAAGUUGGAGUGGCCAAGCGAAAGCGU